GUGUGUGUGUAUGGCUGAUAGGGUGUGUGUGUUUUGUUUCAUCCCAGAGGCAACUAGGAGCCACUGGCAUUUAUUGGGAAAGGAAAUGAUGUGGUCAGAUCUGCACUGAUGGGCAAUCACUUUGGCAGCUCUGUGGAGGACAGACUGGCAUGCUGGGCGGCCAGGAGCCUAUGCCCGGAUCUAGAUGCAUCCACUUACUCUAUUUUAAAGAUGAAAUAAGAACAGGGCCUUGACUCCAAUCUUUAGGGACAAAGUUCCUUCAUGUGCUGCUGCCUUUCCAGAAUAGAAUCAAUAAGCUAUGAAAUGUUGAGAGCCUCUGGGAUAGGCCAGGCUGUAAUUCCAACGAUUCUUGACUCAGAUAAUAAAAAAGGUGAGCGCUUAGAAUUUUUGAGAGGAAUAUAUUGAGUCCAGUGACCUUAUCAUGACAAACUGAGGAGAAUAAAUGGGGAGGGGCAGAGGAUCUGGAUAAUAUGCCCCCCUUCUACUGAUUUAAGGGCUGCUCCCUCCCUUUUUUUUUUUUUUUUGGUGUCCGGCUCCUUCACACCUGUCCCAGAGCUACCUGCAGGCAACCUCCAGCUUCAUCUUAGCCUAGGAAUCCUUGUCAUGAUGGAGACUGGUCCGAUUAAGGGAGGGCAACAAAGGGUCUUUCUCCUACCUCAGAACCAGGCAUGUUGGAGAAGAUGAAAAAGGUUCGGUGACCCUAGGGUGACUGAGAAGCCCACAUCUGGGUUCCUGUGACUCACAAGGUGAACAUCUUGCAAAAAAAAUAUCCCAAAGCAGAGUCUAAGAACCAGUUGACUAAGAGGGCCAUGGAGCAUCCACGUAGGAAUCAAGUUGAGAUUGAAGAGCGUAAGGAUUGUGCUUAAGUCAUUGUCCGAGUGAUUAAAACUGCGGUUGAUGCCAGCAGCGUGGCUUGUGGAUGGAAAAAAAGACAAAAGAGCCAAUGAAAAUACCUUCAUAGUUGCCAUAGUAAAGAAGCCCCAAGAGACAUCUUUGUUGGCAGAUCCAGAAGCCAAGGAUGACAUGGGAGAGAACACAGACCUGUUAUAAAAUCUGCUGAAGAAGGCCUGUGAUGAACUGCCAUUGGUUCAGAUUUAGGAAGUGGUUAUAAUCAUUGCCUUUCCAAUUAUAUGAUAUUAAUGACAAAGUAAUUCUGAGAAACAUAAGGAAGUCUUCUGUGAGUAGCUCCGGCCCCUGCCUCUCCACAGCUAAAGACCUCACCCCACACUUCACUGAGAAGAAUUUGUACUUCUUUUUCCCCCUUUUUAUAAUCUGUCAUCAUCUCUCACCCUGGUGACACUGUCCUUCUUUCUCUUUUCCUUGAUCGCAAUUUCUGGCGAAGAGGUCACCCUCUUGACCAAGGCCAACCCCCCCGCCACAUACCGUAGAUCCUCUGCAGUUUCUUCUAGCAGACUGUCCUCACGAUCGUCCCCUUUCCCCCUUAUCUCUAGUUUUUCCUUAUCUAUUGGCGA
Vombatus ursinus (common wombat) is the source of this 1472-nucleotide long non-coding RNA. RefSeq lists it as uncharacterized. Lineage: Eukaryota; Metazoa; Chordata; Mammalia; Diprotodontia; Vombatidae. The record is from RefSeq and is a predicted model, not a curated record. The transcript is spliced from 3 exons.